UCCCUCAUGGCUUAGCAGUAAAGAAUCUGCCUGCUAAUGCAGGAGACUCAGGUUCCAUCCCUGAUUGAGGAG
Molecule: transfer RNA, 72 nt
Filed under: Ovis aries (sheep)
Lineage: Eukaryota; Metazoa; Chordata; Mammalia; Artiodactyla; Bovidae
Rfam family: tRNA
About the family: Transfer RNA (tRNA) molecules are approximately 80 nucleotides in length.
Source: Rfam by way of RNAcentral